UACGUAGGGUGCAAGCGUUGUCCGGAAUUAUUGGGCGUAAAGAGCUCGUAGGCGGUCUGUCGCGUCGGAUGUGAAAAUCCAGGGCUCAACCCUGGACCUGCAUUCGAUACGGGCAGACUAGAGUUCGGUAGGGGAGACUGGAAUUCCUGGUGUAGCGGUGAAAUGCGCAGAUAUCAGGAGGAACACCGGUGGCGAAGGCGGGUCUCUGGGCCGAAACUGACGCUGAGGAGCGAAAGCGUGGGGAGAAAACAGG
This 253-nucleotide ribosomal RNA is filed under the name uncultured bacterium. RNAcentral describes it as "partial 16S ribosomal RNA". It matches the Rfam family "Bacterial small subunit ribosomal RNA", at positions 524 to 776 of the family's 1533-position model. The record is from RNAcentral.